Molecule: ribosomal RNA, 443 nt
Filed under: uncultured bacterium
Lineage: Bacteria
Description: bacterial SSU rRNA
Rfam family: Bacterial small subunit ribosomal RNA
Source: RNAcentral
UCGAGAAUCUUCGGCAAUGGGCGAAAGCCCGACCGAGCGACGCCGCGUGGAGGACGAAGGCCUUCGGGUUGUAAACUCCUGUCGAGGGGGAACAAGGGGUGGUGAAGAAUCAUCCUUGAGUGAUCCCUGGAGGAAGCACGGGCUAAGUUCGUGCCAGCAGCCGCGGUAAGACGAACCGUGCGAACGUUAUUCGGAAUCACUGGGCUUAAAGCGCGCGUAGGCGGGCCGGCGCGUCGGAUGCUGAAAGCCCCCGGCUCAACCGGGGAAGGGGCACCGAAACGGCCGGCCUGGAGUGGGGUAGGGGGAGCCGGAACUUCCGGUGGAGCGGUGAAAUGCGUUGAGAUCGGAAGGAACGCCCGUGGCGAAAGCGGGCUCCUGGACCCCAACUGACGCUGAGGCGCGAAAGCCAGGGGAGCGAACGGGAUUAGAUACCCCCGUAGUCC